GACGAACGCUGGCGGCGCGCUUAACACAUGCAAGUCGAACGGAAAGGCCUGCUUUCCCUUGUGGCUUGCGGGUACUCGAGUGGCGAACGGGUGAGUAACACGUGAGUCAUCUGCCCCCAACUUGUGUAUAAGCCUGGGAAACUGGGUCUAAUUCCCGAUAGGACUUCAGGGUGGUGCCUUUGGUUGAACACGAUUUUCUAGUGGUUGGGGAUGAGCUCGCGGCCUAUCAGCUUGUUGGUGGGGUAAUGGCCUACCAAGGCGGCGACGGGUAGCCGGCCUGAGAGGGUGGACGGCCACAUUGGGACUGAGAUACGGCCCAGAGUCGUAGGGGAGGCAGCAGUGGGGAAUAUUGGACAAUGGGCGGAAGCCUGGUGCAGCGACGCAGGGUGGGGGAUGACGGGCUGCGGGUUGUAAACUCCUUUCGACCGCGAGGAAGCCACCUGGUUGGAAGGGUGGUGACGGUAGUGGUAGAAGAAGCACCGGCUAACUACGUG
RNAcentral lists this ribosomal RNA (494 nucleotides) under uncultured bacterium. Its description in RNAcentral is "partial 16S ribosomal RNA". It matches the Rfam family "Bacterial small subunit ribosomal RNA", at positions 28 to 507 of the family's 1533-position model. The record is from RNAcentral.